UACGGGAGGCAGCAGUGAGGAAUAUUGGUCAUGGACGAGAGUCUGAACCAGCCAAGUAGCGUGCAGGAAGACGGCCCUAUGGGUUGUAAACUGCUUUUAUAAGGGAAUAAAGUGAGAGUCGUGACUCUUUUUGCAUGUACCUUAUGAAUAAGGACCGGCUAAUUCCGUGCCAGCAGCCGCGGUAAUACGGAAGGUCCGGGCGUUAUCCAGAUUUAUUGGGUUUAAAGGGAGCGUAGGCCGGAGAUUAAGCGUGUUGUGAAAUGUAGAUGCUCAACAUCUGAACUGCAGCGCGAACUGGUUUCCUUGAGUACGCACAAAGUGGGCGGAAUUCGUGGUGUAGCGGUGAAAUGCUUAGAUAUCACGAAGAACUCCGAUUGCGAAGGCAGCUCACUGGAGCGCAACUGACGCUGAAGCUCGAAAGUGCGGGUAUCGAACAGGAUUAGACACCCUGGUAGUCCGCACGGUAAACGAUGGAUGCCCGCUGUUGGUCUGAAUAGGUCAGCGGCCAAGCGAAAGCAUUAAGCAUCCCACCUGGGGAGUACGCCGGCAACGGUGAAACUCAAAGGAAUUGACGGGGGCCCGCACAAGCGGAG
This 593-nucleotide ribosomal RNA is filed under the name uncultured bacterium. Its description in RNAcentral is "bacterial SSU rRNA". It matches the Rfam family "Bacterial small subunit ribosomal RNA", at positions 340 to 934 of the family's 1533-position model. The record is from RNAcentral.